UCCCUGGUGGUCUAGAGGUUAGGACUCAGCACUGUCACUGCUGCGGCUCAGGCUCGAUCCCUGGUCUGGGAA
Transfer RNA from Sus scrofa (pig), 72 nucleotides. It matches the Rfam family "tRNA". Rfam says of the family: Transfer RNA (tRNA) molecules are approximately 80 nucleotides in length. Their secondary structure includes four short double-helical elements and three loops (D, anti-codon, and T loops). Further hydrogen bonds mediate the characteristic L-shaped molecular structure. tRNAs have two regions of fundamental functional importance: the anti-codon, which is responsible for specific mRNA codon recognition, and the 3' end, to which the tRNAs corresponding amino acid is attached (by aminoacyl-tRNA synthetases). tRNAs cope with the degeneracy of the genetic code in two manners: having more than one tRNA (with a specific anti-codon) for a particular amino acid; and 'wobble' base-pairing, i.e. permitting non-standard base-pairing at the 3rd anti-codon position. The record is from Rfam. NCBI's taxonomy places the organism in Eukaryota, Metazoa, Chordata, Mammalia, Artiodactyla, Suidae.